UCGGGGCCAGACUGUGAGAGUGGUAAGUCAGGAUAAGUUUGGUGCCUCCUCUUUGUUUUUUUUGCUUUUAAUAUUUGCUUAUGAAGAAUUAUGAUUGAGAGAAGUAUUAUUGAAAUUGUGAUUAGAAUAUUGUGGAAUAUGACUUUGGACUGACCGUUUUGGAGAAAAUCUGUGACCUUGAGAAUUGAGAUUAUCCAAUUGUAUUGUACUAAGUGAAGAUAUUGAAUUGUGUGUAAUAGAUUGAGAAACUGAAUAUAAUAAGUAAGCUAGAGAUCAGUAAUUGAAUAUAUAUAAACCGCAAAGAAAGUAAGUAGGAGAUGAACUGAUAAGAAUAUGGAAGUAUUAUUGAAUUGAUAGUCGUAGAAUAGAUUAAGUGUUGAAUUAAGAUGAAAGUAGUAAGCCUUGGUGUUUUGUAGUUUGAUAAUUGAUUUCA
RNAcentral lists this long non-coding RNA (433 nucleotides) under Physcomitrium patens. Its description in RNAcentral is "long non-coding RNA (PPAT_LNC007626)". Lineage: Eukaryota; Viridiplantae; Streptophyta; Bryopsida; Funariales; Funariaceae. The record is from RNAcentral.